Molecule: non-coding RNA, 25 nt
Filed under: Drosophila melanogaster (fruit fly)
Lineage: Eukaryota; Metazoa; Arthropoda; Insecta; Diptera; Drosophilidae
Source: RNAcentral
UAUCAUCCCUAGAAAUGCCUUCUUC